RNAcentral lists this ribosomal RNA (484 nucleotides) under uncultured bacterium. Its description in RNAcentral is "partial 16S ribosomal RNA". It matches the Rfam family "Bacterial small subunit ribosomal RNA", at positions 29 to 523 of the family's 1533-position model. The record is from RNAcentral.
AGUGAACGCUGGCGGCGUGCUUAACACAUGCAAGUCGAACGAGAACGGUUUAUAGCUUGCUAUAAUUGUCAGCUAAGUGGCGCACGGGUGAGUAAUGUAUAGGUAAUAUGCCUCUUACUAAGGGAUAACAAAUGGAAACGUUUGCUAAUACCUUAUACUCCUUAUUAACAGAAGUUAAUAAGGGAAAGAUUUAUUGGUAAGAGAUUAGACUGUAUUGUAUCAGUUAGUUGGUGGGGUAAUGGCUUACCAAGACUAUGACACAUAACUGGUUUGGGAGGAUGAUCAGUCACACUGGAACUGAGACACGGUCCAGACUCCUACGGGAGGCAGCAGUGGGGAAUAUUGCACAAUGGACGAAAGUCUGAUGCAGCAACGCCGCGUGGAGGAUGACACAUUUCGGUGCGUAAACUCCUUUUAUAUGAGAAGAUAAUGACGGUAUUAUAUGAAUAAGCACCGGCUAACUCCGUGCCAGCAGCCGCAGUAA